Molecule: ribosomal RNA, 270 nt
Filed under: uncultured archaeon
Lineage: Archaea
Description: partial 16S ribosomal RNA
Rfam family: Archaeal small subunit ribosomal RNA
Source: RNAcentral
CAGCACCUCAAGUGGUCAGGAUGAUUAUUGGGCCUAAAGCAUCCGUAGCCGGCUCUGUAAGUUUUCGGUUAAAUCUGUACGCUCAACGUACAGGCUGCCGGGAAUACUGCAGAGCUAGGGAGUGGGGGAGGUAGACGGUACUCGGUAGGAAGGGGUAAAAUCCUUUGAUCUAUUGAUGACCACCUGUGGCGAAGGCGGUCUACCAGAACACGUCCGACGGUGAGGGAUGAAAGCUGGGGGAGCAAACCGGAUUAGAUACCCGAGUAGUCC